UUUAAAGUGGAUUUCCAAUAGAAUGAGCAUAAAGACUAAAAAGGGAGUAGUAUUUAGCACCGAACGGAAAGUGUGAGAUUAACGUACCCUAUCUUCCACUGAACUACAUAGCCAACGUAGGUACAAAUUAUGAGAUUACUCCCUAAAUCUAUAUGGAUGACAAAUUUAACUUGUGAUCGAUCACAUGGAAAGUAGGUUAUACUCCCUGGCAAGAGUAUGACUCCUCUCCCCAACGUAGGGAUUCUUCCUCAGGGAGACAAGAACACUGGACUCCAGGAAUGCUCACAUGGUUGAUGUCGGUUAAGAGAACCUCCCUGCUAGUAAAAGUAAAUAAACAGUUUUGAGUAUUUUCCUACUAGUAAAGAAAACCUUUGAAAGAAUUCCCUUCAGAUAAAGUAUUUUUCCAUGCAGAAUGAGUUUUCAGAUUUCACUUAGCCUAUAUGAUUUGAUAAUAAGAAUAGAAUACAGAUUUCAGAACUAUGUGUAAUGGCUCACAAGAUUUAUAUUAUAUGCUUUACUAUUCAAGAUUUAUGAUCUUCAGAUUCCAAAUUUACUCAAUCUUAUGUGAGCCAUAUACAUUUAGCGUGAAUGAUUUUAUAAAUUGUGAUGAUAUUGCUUACUUAUUGCAUUUACCCCACAUACACAGUACAUCAUCAAAUUACUGAUCCGCAUAUACAUCUAUGUGCUACAUUGUCUCAAAAUGUAGGUUCAGGUGCUCAGUCUCAAUAGCGUGAGUGAUUUUCAAGCAUCUCAUCUAUAUCUCUGCAGUUGGUAAGUCCUCAUAGUUCGGGGACUUAAUUAUUUCAUACUUCUAGUUUAUUAUUAGUUGAUUCAGUUUUUAUUUCAGACAGUUUGAGUCAGCUAGGGGUUUGUCCCAGUAGCUCUCUAGUUUUAGUUAGUAGAGGUUUGUCGGACUACCAUAUUUAAUAUUCAAGUUUUGUUUCAGUAUUCAGGUUUUCAUUAUUGUUUUACCAAAACUUUUGAGAUUAGUAUGCUUCAGACAUACCCAAUUAUUUCAGAUAGACUUCCGCAUUUAGUAUGAUUUUUCAUUCAUAUUCUCCUAUUUUGAGACCCAGACUUAGUAGAAAGCAGUCAGGAUUAGCUCAGGACUACUUGUAGUUCAGAGCACCGUGUGGCAUCUCGGGAACUCAAAUUUUGGAGAGUUACACAGGGUUUUCAAAGCACAUACAUAACAUAAGAUACAAAUCAAGUACACGUACAUGAGAAAAAAAUACAAAUAAAGAAAUAAAACAAACAAGUGACAUAAUGUGUACGAUGACAUAAAAAUGGUGAUGUAAUGUUCACAACCAUUGAAAUGAGUAUUUCCAAAAUCAAUCCACGUGAUGUAUUUCCACAACUAACCACAAUGUUAUAAUUUCACAACCACGUGAGCUAAUAUUCGCUCAUUAUUUAUACUAUCCAUGAAUUCUCCACAUGAUUCAUAUGCCCACAAGGUAUGAAUAUAUCACAAUACGCCAAAGGUACCACAAUAGACAUUUCCAAUCAACACAAUAUAAUUAUUCAUAUGUAUUUCAGGCUAUCAACAUCAAAUUCAGGCCCCUACACGGGCAAAAUAUAUAGAUAGACAUAUUUCAUGAUUAGUUUCCACUCUUAACAUGUAUUUUGGUAUACAAAUUAACUACCCAACUCAAUAUGAAGAGUUAAGUCAUAACCUACCUCGAAUGCUAAAAUCGGUCAGCUACAGUUCGAAAUCAUGAUCUUAAUUUUCACGAACGAUCUCAAAAUCAACUUAAAUAAAGAAAUAUAGAAUCUACACGUUAAUACAAAGCCACUGAUAUCCAUAUUGACUACUUUUGGUUAGGGUCAAAAUGGACUCCCGAAAUGAGUUCAAAAAAAGACAAAAUCGUAACUUUACUCCAAAAAUGUGUUUUUCAUCUUUUUAGGAAUAUACAUCUGAAAACCCAAGUCAAAUCGAGUAAAAAAACGAGGUUCAAAUUGAUGAAAAAUCAUUUUUUAAGCUUUAUCGGGAAAAUCUUUGAAAUUCAAUUUAAUAUCAAGAAUCAGGGUUGUUUCGAAGGUUAAAUUGAUGAAAAUCUAGUAAUUAUAAGAUUAAAAUAUUAUUCAAGUGAAAAAGAGUGAAAUUGAGGUUUAAAAUCAAGUCGUAAAAUUUUUUGGGGUAUGAGAAAUUAAUCAAGAAAUUACUAAGAAAAGGGUGAAUUCUUACCUUAAAUCUGUAAUAGAAUCAAGAAAUAGAUGUUAAUCUAGCUUCCCAAACUCCCACAAACUUCACUUUUGAGCUCCCACACUAUUUUAGAUUUAACUCCCAAGAGGCAAGGUAAAAGAAUGAACAAAAUGGACCAAAAAAGAGUAAAAAAAAACUACAUUGCAGAAAAAAUCUGCUAUAUAUAGUGCAUAUUUUUUUUAAGUCCAAACAGACUUCGACGGAGUGUCCGAGAUUCGUUCGGAGUUCGAUAUAUGCAAACAAAUUAUGUAACCACAUUAAAUUAGACACUCUGGACACAAUAGCGAUAUCAGAUUUUUGAAAAAAAAAUGUCGUUUUCAAAAAGUUGACCCUCGAAAUUCGAAAUCAUAAUUUUCUAAAUCAAGGGUCGAAAUGAGAUUUAAAAGUCAUAAAAUCACACCAAAUAUGCUACCACCCUAAAAUCGACAUUCUGGAUCUUCUGGCAAAGUCGAAAUUUCUAUUCGAGGUUGUUUCAAUCAAAUGUGGGUCCCACACUCAUAUUUCUAAUUUUUCUAACUUUCUGACCAACAUGUUGAAAUGAGCUCAGGUGCACCGAGAGUCAAACCAAACGUCUAACUAGGCUAAAAUCAAUAUUCUAGAGCUACUAGUGUAGUCCGUUCAGUCUUCCUUGCACGAAUCAAAAUAUAUCCACAUAAGUCCAAAAUACGGAUAUUAAAGCCAUCAAAAGCCAUAAUACCACAUAAAUGGUACAAAAAAUGAAUCAAAACUGUGUCAAUCACCCCCACACCCUAGAAAUACCAUAUGCAACUACGAAAAGGGAUAAAAUAGUCAAAUAAUAUUGAAACACGUAUUUCACAUAUUUUAUCAAAAAGUUGGUUGUUAUAUCUUGAUACCUACUUUUUAAUACUUUUAAUUUUUUUUAGUAUAGCAUUGUUGAUUGACGUGAGAUACAUGUACAAAUACAUACACAUAAUUUUAAGAAGUCUAAUAUUUGUGUAACUAUUUAGGGUUGGCUCCAGAUAAAAAAAAAAGUUAGAAUUUGAGCUUAUAUAAAAAUUUUAUAUAAUUUUAUUAAACAGUAUUUUGGAUUCAACUUUAUAACAGACAUACUACUCUUACUUUUCUCUCGUUUGAUUGAUUAAAAUUUAAAUGCUUAAAGUUUCUCCGACAAAAAUUGACUUAACUAUUCCAUCACGAUAACAUUUUUGAACUUAUAGCAAACUUAGUUCAAUUUGGUGAUAUUUACGGUUAUUCUUAACAUUUGAUACAUGUACAACACAUGUAUGUUAACAUACGUGCCUUGCACAUGUAUCAAGAGUUAAUUUGGGAUCAUCAAAUGUUUAUACACAAUUUUUUACAUCAUGAUUAAGAGAAACAAUAGAUAACAAUUUUAAUACAUUUUGGAUUCAUUAUAUUAUACGUAUUAAAGACAUACUUUAAUAUACAUGGUGAAUAUCUAGAAGCAAAAUAUUUUUAAAAGAAAUAUAUUACACUAUUAUAUGUGAAUUUCAAACAUUCCAUUAUAAUUUGAAUUAGUUUACGUUGUUAGAAAUGUAUAAUAUUUGAUAUGAAAUAACAACUUUCGAAUUCAUAAAAAUAUAUAGUAUUAAAUUUGAAUUGUAUUACAGCGAUUCUUUAUGUUUAAUACAACUUGAAUACAACGUUUAAAAACUUUACCUCUUCGUCUCUAGUGAAUCAACAUCACCAGACCACCAUCGAACCCAUCACCCGUGAUCAAACCAACCACCAAAUAACUGUGAAAACACUACCUCAAAAAACAUUACCUCAAGCUACCAAACCUGGCAAACUAUCAAAAAACACCACAACUAAACAACAACUCCGAUCACUCACUUCCUCUCUUCUUCGUUCGAUGAGCCAUUACUAUCAAAUUUCGGUUAGAGAUCCAUUACCACCAUCAAUACACCUAUCACUUCCCUUUUUAUUAUUUUUUUCAAUGAGCCACAACUUUCCAUCAAGACCCACGACUUUCCAGCAACCAAAUUGACACAACUUCACUGUGUUCUCCUCUAUUAUUCAUUGAAAUAUUACCUUCCCUUUUACCAUUUUUUUACACCUACAACAAACAAAGGGAUCCACCUCCACAAUUUCAUGGAGAUCAUCAGAACUCAUAAAUUUUGGUUGGAGUUCGAUGGUUUAUUCGAUUUAAUUAUUAUGUUAUUUCUUAUUAAUGUUGCAGAGGUAAGAAAGGAAAAUAGAAAUUGGGGUGGUUGUUUGUUAUUUUGUUCACUAGAGAAUCCAUCUUUAACGAUGUUCGAGGGAAAUAAUGAAGAGUUAGGCUGGUUGUUGUUU
RNAcentral lists this long non-coding RNA (4474 nucleotides) under Capsicum annuum. Its description in RNAcentral is "long non-coding RNA (CANN_LNC019599)". Lineage: Eukaryota; Viridiplantae; Streptophyta; Magnoliopsida; Solanales; Solanaceae. The record is from RNAcentral.